Molecule: ribosomal RNA, 252 nt
Filed under: uncultured prokaryote
Description: partial 16S ribosomal RNA
Rfam family: Bacterial small subunit ribosomal RNA
Source: RNAcentral
UACGGGGGGAGCAAGCGUUGUUCGGAUUUACUGGGCGUAAAGGGCGCGUAGGCGGCCAGCGCAAGUCAGUUGUGAAAUCUCCGGGCUUAACUCGGAAAGGUCAACUGAUACUGCGUGGCUAGAGUGCGGGAGGGGCAACUGGAAUUCUCGGUGUAGCGGUGAAAUGCGUAGAUAUCGAGAGGAACACCUGCGGCGAAGGCGGGUUGCUGGGCCGACACUGACGCUGAUGCGCGAAAGCCAGGGGAGCGAACG